GAUGAACGCUGGCGGCGUGCCUAAUACAUGCAAGUCGAGCGAACGGACGAGAAGCUUGCUUCUCCGAUGUUAGCGGCGGACGGGUGAGUAACACGUGGAUAACCUACCUAUAAGACUGGGAUAACUUCGGGAAACCGUAGCUAAUACCGGAUAAUAUUUUGAACCGCAUGGUUCAAAAGUGAAAGACGGUCUUGCUGUCACUUAUAGAUGGAUCCGCGCUGCAUUAGCUAGUUGGUAAGGUAACGGCUUACCAAGGCAACGAUGCAUAGCCGACCUGAGAGGGUGAUCGGCCACACUGGAACUGAGACACGGUCCAGACUCCUACGGGAGGCAGCAGUAGGGAAUCUUCCGCAAUGGGCGAAAGCCUGACGGAGCAACGCCGCGUGAGUGAUGAAGGUCUUCGGAUCGUAAAACUCUGUUAUUAGGGAAGAACAUAUGUGUAAGUAACUGUGCACAUCUUGACGGUACCUAAUCAGAAAGCCACGGCUAACUACGUG
Molecule: ribosomal RNA, 497 nt
Filed under: uncultured bacterium
Lineage: Bacteria
Description: partial 16S ribosomal RNA
Rfam family: Bacterial small subunit ribosomal RNA
Source: RNAcentral